RNAcentral lists this ribosomal RNA (172 nucleotides) under Copella arnoldi (splash tetra). RNAcentral's name for it is "partial 12S rRNA". Lineage: Eukaryota; Metazoa; Chordata; Actinopteri; Characiformes; Lebiasinidae. The record is from RNAcentral.
CACCGCGGUUAUACGAGAGACCCUAGUUGAUAGUAUCGGCGUAAAGAGUGGUUUAGAGAAUAUAAAGAACUAAAGCCAAAGUUCUCUUAGGCCGUCAUACGCACUUCAGAGACACGAAGCCCUAGCACGAAGGUAGCUUUAUUAUUUACCUGACCCCACGAAAGCUGAGGAA